This 499-nucleotide non-coding RNA is filed under the name uncultured Glomus. RNAcentral describes it as "SSU rRNA". It matches the Rfam family "Eukaryotic small subunit ribosomal RNA", at positions 591 to 1092 of the family's 1831-position model. RNAcentral also lists the same sequence under 1 other name. Lineage: Eukaryota; Fungi; Glomeromycota; Glomeromycetes; Glomerales; Glomeraceae. The record is from RNAcentral.
CCAAUAGCGUAUAUUAAAGUUGCUGCAGUUAAAAAGCUCGUAGUUGAAUUUCGGGACCAUCAUGUCGGUCGUGCCUCGGUACGUACUGGUAUUGUUGGUUUCUCCCUUCUGACGAACCAUGAUGUCAUUUAUUUGGUGUUGUGGGGAAUCAGGACUGUUACUUUGAAAAAAUUAGAGUGUUUAAAGCAGGCUCACGCUUGAAUACAUUAGCAUGGAAUAAUGAAAUAGGACGUUUGAUUCUAUUUUGUUGGUUUCUAGGAUCGACGUAAUGAUUAAUAGGGAUAGUUGGGGGCAUUAGUAUUCAAUUGUCAGAGGUGAAAUUCUUGGAUUUAUUGAAGACUAACUACUGCGAAAGCAUUUGCCAAGGAUGUUUUCAUUAAUCAAGAACGAAAGUUAGGGGAUCGAAGACGAUCAGAUACCGUCGUAGUCUUAACCAUAAACUAUGCCGACUAGGGAUCGGAUGAUGUUAAUUUUUUAAUGACUCAUUCGGCGCCUUACG